UAACGCGUGGAGAACCUGCCGUAUACUGGGGGAUAACACUUAGAAAUAGGUGCUAAUACCGCAUAAGCGCACAGCUUCGCAUGAAGCAGUGUGAAAAACUCCGGUGGUAUACGAUGGAUCCGCGUCUGAUUAGCUUGUUGGCGGGGUAAAGGCCCACCAAGGCGACGAUCAGUAGCCGGCCUGAGAGGGUGAACGGCCACAUUGGGACUGAGACACGGCCCAAACUCCUACGGGAGGCAGCAGUGGGGAAUAUUGCACAAUGGGGGAAACCCUGAUGCAGCGACGCCGCGUGAGUGAAGAAGUAUUUCGGUACGUAAAGCUCUAUCAGCAGGGAAGAAAAUGACGGUACCUGACUAAGAAGCCCCGGCUAACUACGUGCCAGCAGCCGCGGUAAUACGUAGGGGGCAAGCGUUAUCCGGAUUUACUGGGUGUAAAGGGAGCGUAGACGGCAGCGCAAGUCUGGAGUGAAAUCCCAUGGCUUAACCAUGGAACUGCUUUGGAAACUGUGCAGCUGGAGUGCAGGAGAGGUAAGCGGAAUUCCUAGUGUAGCGGUGAAAUGCGUAGAUAUUAGGAGGAACACCAGUGGCGAAGGCGGCUUACUGGACUGUAACUGACGUUGAGGCUCGAAAGCGUGGGGAGCAAACAGGAUUAGAUACCCUGGUAGUCCACGCUGUAAACGAUGAUUACUAGGUGU
RNAcentral lists this ribosomal RNA (694 nucleotides) under uncultured bacterium. RNAcentral's name for it is "bacterial SSU rRNA". It matches the Rfam family "Bacterial small subunit ribosomal RNA", at positions 111 to 823 of the family's 1533-position model. The record is from RNAcentral.